UGUGAACUCGAAGAGUAGGGCGGGACACGUGGUAUCCUGUCUGAAUAUGGGGGGACCAUCCUCCAAGGCUAAAUACUCCUGACUGACCGAUAGUGAACCAGUACCGUGAGGGAAAGGCGAAAAGAACCCCGGCGAGGGGAGUGAAAAAGAACCUGAAACCGUGUACGUACAAGCAGUGGGAGCACCUUCGGGUGUGACUGCGUACCUUUUGUAUAAUGGGUCAGCGACUUAUAUUCUGUAGCAAGGUUAACCGUAUAGGGGAGCCGCAGGGAAACCGAGUCUUAACUGGGCGUUAAGUUGCAGGGUAUAGACCCGAAACCCGGUGAUCUAGCCAUGGGCAGGUUGAAGGUUGGGUAACACUAACUGGAGGACCGAACCGACUAAUGUUGAAAAAUUAGCGGAUGACUUGUGGCUGGGGGUGAAAGGCCAAUCAAACCGGGAGAUAGCUGGUUCUCCCCGAAAGCUAUUUAGGUAGCGCCUCGUGAAUUCAUCUUCGGGGGUAGAGCACUGUUUCGGCUAGGGGGUCAUCCCGACUUACCAACCCGAUGCAAACUACGAAUACCGAAGAAUGUUAUCACGGGAGACACACGGCGGGUGCUAACGUCCGUCGUGAAGAGGGAAACAACCCAGACCGCCAGCUAAGGUCCCAAAGUCAUGGUUAAGUGGGAAACGAUGUGGGAAGGCACAGACAGCCAGGAUGUUGGCUUAGAAGCAGCCAUCAUUUAAAGAAAGCGUAAUAGCUCACUGGUCGAGUCGGCCUGCGCGGAAGAUGUAACGGGGCUAAACCAUGCACCGAAGCUGCGGCAGCGACACUAUGUGUUGUUGGGUAGGGGAGCGUUCUGUAA
This 845-nucleotide ribosomal RNA is filed under the name Klebsiella pneumoniae. Its description in RNAcentral is "partial 23S ribosomal RNA". It matches the Rfam family "Bacterial large subunit ribosomal RNA", at positions 398 to 1246 of the family's 2925-position model. Lineage: Bacteria; Pseudomonadati; Pseudomonadota; Gammaproteobacteria; Enterobacterales; Enterobacteriaceae. The record is from RNAcentral.